Molecule: ribosomal RNA, 419 nt
Filed under: uncultured archaeon
Lineage: Archaea
Description: partial 16S ribosomal RNA
Rfam family: Archaeal small subunit ribosomal RNA
Source: RNAcentral
CUACGGGUUGCUGCAGUCGAGGAAAUUUUACAAUGCUCGAAAGAGUGAUAAAAUAAACCAGAGUGUUUCUCCUAGAGAAACUUUUGUAUGUUGUAAAAAGACAUGCGAAUAAGGACUGGGCAAGACCGGUGCCAGCCGCCGCGGUAAUACCGGCGGUCCAAGUCGCAUCCACAUUUAUUGGUCUAAAACAUUCGUAGCUUGUUUUGCAAGUCUCUUGUGAAAUCCUAUAUCUCAAAUAUAGGGCGGGCAAGAGAUACUGCUUUACUAGAGACCGGAAGACGUAAGGAGUACGAUUAAGGUAGCGGUAAAAUGUGUUAAUCUUUGUCGGACUAACAAUGGCGAAGGCACCUUACGAGUACGGAUCUGACAGUGAGGAAUGAAGGCUAGGGGCGCAAAACGGAUUAGAUACCCCUGUAGUC